Molecule: transfer RNA, 72 nt
Filed under: Cellulophaga phage phi38:1
Lineage: Duplodnaviria; Heunggongvirae; Uroviricota; Caudoviricetes; Pervagoviridae
Also listed under: 2 other names
Rfam family: tRNA
About the family: Transfer RNA (tRNA) molecules are approximately 80 nucleotides in length. Their secondary structure includes four short double-helical elements and three loops (D, anti-codon, and T loops). Further hydrogen bonds mediate the characteristic L-shaped molecular structure. tRNAs have two regions of fundamental functional importance: the anti-codon, which is responsible for specific mRNA codon recognition, and the 3' end, to which the tRNAs corresponding amino acid is attached (by aminoacyl-tRNA synthetases). tRNAs cope with the degeneracy of the genetic code in two manners: having more than one tRNA (with a specific anti-codon) for a particular amino acid; and 'wobble' base-pairing, i.e. permitting non-standard base-pairing at the 3rd anti-codon position.
Source: Rfam by way of RNAcentral
CGAGUAGUGACAAAAUUGGCACGUGCCGACCUUGGACGUCGGAGAAUGCAGGUUCGAUCCCUGCCUACUCGA